Molecule: non-coding RNA, 88 nt
Filed under: human gut metagenome
Description: TPP riboswitch (THI element)
Rfam family: TPP riboswitch aptamer (THI element)
About the family: Vitamin B(1) in its active form thiamin pyrophosphate (TPP) is an essential coenzyme that is synthesised by coupling of pyrimidine and thiazole moieties in bacteria. The previously detected thiamin-regulatory element, thi box was extended, resulting in a new, highly conserved RNA secondary structure, the THI element, which is widely distributed in eubacteria and also occurs in some archaea.
Source: RNAcentral
CAUCGGGGUGCCGCAGGGCUGAGAUUGGGCAAUGUCCCAGAACCCGAAAACCUGAUACGGAUCAUGCCGGCGUAGGGAAUGCAGAAAU